This 440-nucleotide ribosomal RNA is filed under the name uncultured bacterium. RNAcentral describes it as "partial 16S ribosomal RNA". It matches the Rfam family "Bacterial small subunit ribosomal RNA", at positions 338 to 795 of the family's 1533-position model. The record is from RNAcentral.
CCUACGGGAGGCAGCAGUGGGGAAUAUUGCACAAUGGGGGAAACCCUGAUGCAGCGACGCCGCGUGAGUGAAGAAGUCUCUCGGUAUGUAAAGCUCUAUCAGCAGGGAAGAUAAUGACGGUACCUGACUAAGAAGCCCCGGCUAGAUACGUGCCAGCAGCCGCGGUUAUACGUAGGGGGCCGGCGUUAUCCGGAUUUACUGGGGGUAAAGGGUGCGUAGGUGGCAGGGCAAGUCCGAUGUGAAAGGCCGGGGCCCAACCCCGGUAUUGCAGUUGAAACUGUCCAGCUUGAGUGCAGGAGAGGUAAGCGGAAUUCGUGGUGUAGCGGUGAAAUGCGUAGAUAUUAGGAGGAACCCCGGUGGCGAAGGCAGCUUACUGGACUGUAACUGACACUGAGGCACGAAAGCGUGGGGAGCAAACAGGAUUAGAUACCCGAGUAGUC